Molecule: ribosomal RNA, 305 nt
Filed under: uncultured bacterium
Lineage: Bacteria
Description: bacterial SSU rRNA
Rfam family: Bacterial small subunit ribosomal RNA
Source: RNAcentral
ACCUACGGGGGGCAGCAGUGGGGAAUAUUGCACAAUGGGGGAAACCCUGGUGCAGCAACGCCGCGUGAAGGAAGACGGUUUUCGGAUUGUAAACUUCUGUUCUUAGUGAAGAAGAAUGACGGUAGCUAAGAAGCCCCGGCUAACUACGUGCCAGCAGCCGCGGUAAUACGUAGGGGGCAAGCGUUAUCCGGAUUUACUGGGUGUAAAGGGAGCGUAGACGGCAGCGCAAGUCUGAAGUGAAAUCCCAUGGCUUAACCAUGGAACUGCUUUGGAAACUGUGCAGCUGGAGUGCAGGAGAGGGAAGG